RNAcentral lists this ribosomal RNA (305 nucleotides) under uncultured bacterium. RNAcentral describes it as "partial 16S ribosomal RNA". It matches the Rfam family "Bacterial small subunit ribosomal RNA", at positions 508 to 808 of the family's 1533-position model. The record is from RNAcentral.
ACAGCAGAGCCACGGUAAUACGGAGGGUGCAAGCGUUAUCCGGAUUUAUUGGGUUUAAAGGGUCCGUAGGCGGAUCUGUAAGUCAGUGGUGAAAUCUCACAGCUUAACUGUGAAACUGCCAUUGAUACUGCAGGUCUUGAGUAAAUUUGAAGUGGCUGGAAUAAGUAGUGUAGCGGUGAAAUGCAUAGAUAUUACUUAGAACACCAAUUGCGAAGGCAGGUCACUAAGAUUUAACUGACGCUGAUGCACGAAAGCGUGGGGAGCAAACAGGAUUAGAUACCCCUGUAGUCCCUGUCUCUUAUACA